Molecule: long non-coding RNA, 217 nt
Organism: Hyaena hyaena (striped hyena)
Lineage: Eukaryota; Metazoa; Chordata; Mammalia; Carnivora; Hyaenidae
Exons: 3
Source: RefSeq, a predicted model, not a curated record
AUUCCCACCAACAGUGUAGGAGGGUGCCCAUUUCUCCACAUCCUCGCCAGCAUCUAGAGUCCUCUGAUUUGCUCAUCUAAAUAGCAAUUUUUGAAACUACUUCCAGACAUCCUACAUGCAUGGUAGCAGUUGUGGCAGAGCUCAGUUCACUGAAGGGCAGCGGGACAGUUUAGACUCAUGGGUGAGAGAGAGAGAGAGACAGCGUGAGCAGGGGAGG